GGGAGUGAAAUAGAACCUGAAACCCUGCACUUACAAGCUGUGGAAGCACAUUUCUUGUGUGACCGCGUACUUUUUGUAGAACGGGCCAACGAGUUACGUUAAGUAGCAAGGUUAAGCACUUAAGGUGCGGAGCCGUAGCGAAAGCGAGUUUUAACUGAGCGUUCAGUUACUUGACGUAGACCCGAAACCGGGCGACCUACCCAUGAGCAGGCUGAAGCGAAAGUAAAAUUUCGUGGAGGUCCGAACCCACGAGCGUUGAAAAGCUCGGGGAUGACUUGUGGGUAGCGGUGAAAUUCCAAUCGAGCCCGGAGAUAGCUGGUUCUCCCCGAAAUAGCUUUAGGGCUAGCCUCAAGGUGAGAGAUACGGAGGUAGAGCACUGAAUGUCCUAGGGGGUAUUGCACCUACCGAAGACUAUCAAACUCCGAAUGCCGUCAUCUUAUACUUGGGAGUCAGACUGUGGGUGAUAAGAUUCAUAG
Molecule: ribosomal RNA, 476 nt
Filed under: Clostridioides difficile
Lineage: Bacteria; Bacillati; Bacillota; Clostridia; Peptostreptococcales; Peptostreptococcaceae
Description: bacterial LSU rRNA
Rfam family: Bacterial large subunit ribosomal RNA
Source: RNAcentral